UAAGGAAUAUUGGUCAAUGGACGCAAGUCUGAACCAGCCAUGCCGCGUGAAGGAUUAAGGCCCUCUGGGUUGUAAACUUCUUUUAUAGGGGAAGAAAUGUGACGGUUCUCCGUCACUUGACGGUACCCUGGGAAUAAGCACCGGCUAACUCCGUGCCAGCAGCCGCGGUAAUACGGAGGGUGCAAGCGUUAUCCGGAUUCACUGGGUUUAAAGGGUGCGUAGGUGGGCAGAUAAGUCAGUGGUGAAAUCUUCCGGCUUAACCGGGAAACUGCCGUUGAUACUAUUUGUCUUGAAUAUUGCGGAGGUAAGCGGAAUAUGUCAUGUAGCGGUGAAAUGCUUAGAUAUGACAUAGAACACCAAUUGCGAAGGCAGCUUACCACACAAUCAUUGACACUGAGGCACGAAAGCGUGGGUAGCGAACA
This 422-nucleotide ribosomal RNA is filed under the name uncultured bacterium. RNAcentral's name for it is "bacterial SSU rRNA". It matches the Rfam family "Bacterial small subunit ribosomal RNA", at positions 355 to 774 of the family's 1533-position model. The record is from RNAcentral.